ACGGGGGGGGCAAGCGUUGUUCGGAAUUACUGGGCGUAAAGGGCUCGUAGGCGGCCAACUAAGUCGGACGUGAAAUCCCCAGGCUCAACCUGGGAACUGCGUCCGAUACUGGAUGGCUUGAAUUCGGGAGAGGGAUGCAGAAUUCCAGGUGUAGCGGUGAAAUGCGUAGAUAUCAGGAAGAACGCCGGUGGCGAAAGCGCUCUGCUAGGCCGCAACUGACACUGAGGGACGAAAGCUAGGGGAGCGAAUGGGA
RNAcentral lists this ribosomal RNA (253 nucleotides) under uncultured prokaryote. RNAcentral describes it as "partial 16S ribosomal RNA". It matches the Rfam family "Bacterial small subunit ribosomal RNA", at positions 525 to 777 of the family's 1533-position model. The record is from RNAcentral.